CCAGGCUCGUACGGCAUUGGACAUCCGGCGAAAGCCGGCUCCCGCAAGGGCCGAUGUCGAGGUGCUGCAUGGCUGUCGUCAGCUCGUGUCGUGAGAUGUUGGGUUAAGUCCCGCAACGAGCGCAACCCUUGUCCGCUGUUGCCAUCACGUUAUGGUGGGCACUCUGCGGAGACUGCCGGUGAUAAACCGGAGGAAGGUGGGGAUGACGUCAAGUCAGCAUGGCCUUUAUGUCUGGGGCUACACACGUGCUACAAUGGCCGGUACAAACCGUCGCGAUACCGCAAGGUGGAGCUAAUCGGAGAAAGCCGGUCUCAGUUCGGAUUGCAGGCUGCAACUCGCCUGCAUGAAGUUGGAAUCGCUAGUAAUCGCGGAUCAGCACGCCGCGGUGAAUACGUUCCCGGGCCUUGUACACACCGCCCGUCACAUCACGAAAGCUGGUUGUACUAGAAGUCACCGAGCUAACCCGCAAGGGAGGCAAGUGCCUAAGGUAUGGUCAGUGAUUGGGGUG
This 508-nucleotide ribosomal RNA is filed under the name uncultured bacterium. RNAcentral's name for it is "bacterial SSU rRNA". It matches the Rfam family "Bacterial small subunit ribosomal RNA", at positions 975 to 1482 of the family's 1533-position model. The record is from RNAcentral.